Mirounga angustirostris (Northern elephant seal) is the source of this 8161-nucleotide long non-coding RNA. RefSeq lists it as uncharacterized. Lineage: Eukaryota; Metazoa; Chordata; Mammalia; Carnivora; Phocidae. The record is from RefSeq and is a predicted model, not a curated record. The transcript is spliced from 2 exons.
GGCUGUGUGCGCCUGUGCUGCCUCACCUGUCCUGGCCCGCCAGCCCUGGCCAAGUGAAGCUGGGACCACCGUGGGGCCCGCAUGGAGGUGGGAGAGGGUGGGGACCUGAGGUGUCCCGUGGAGGCCAUCAGCGCCUGCCUGAGCUGCUCCUGACCCUUCUCCCUGGGGGAUGAUCCAGUGACGGGAUUCCGCUCUGCCUCUGCUCACCCCCGGGGGUGAGCGUGGCCACACUUGGGGGAUCGUGUCUGUGGCACCAGCCUUUUCCUCCUGCCGCUGAGUCCUGCUGCCAGGAGGGGCCGGGCAGUGAGCCGACAUUCCUCACAAGGCUGGUGAGCUCCCGGAGUGGUUUUUGCCCCUGACCGGCUUCGCAGGGACUCGUGGGCUGGACCCCCACAGGCUGGCAGGGUGUCAGUGGAGGGCUCACGAGGUGCUGGGGCCUUGAGUUGCUGUCACAAAGUCUGUGUGGUUGGGAGCUCUGUCCUUUUCAUUGGAGCUUUGAGUAAUUCUGUGUCCAGUACACCUGUGCUGAGUUGAAAGGUAAUUUUGGAGUGAAGCACUUGUACCUGCUUUUAUGACCUCACGUUGUCCUUUCCAUUCCCGAGCAAGAUGCAGGUCACUGUGUGUGUCUGAGCCGUGACCUGCUUGCCUCGCGUUUGGCUCGUGUGGGCUUCUAAGUGUCCCUCCAGUGUACCGGCCGUCAUGCACGCUGUGCUCUGCAGCCUCUUCUCCCAGAGAUGACAUCCUGCUCCUCGUUUGGGGUUGGCUCUGUGCCCUAUCCACCCCCCCGCCCCCGAUAGCCUGGCCCUUGGAGCUGGACCCAUGUGUGGGCUCUGACACCGAGUGACACCAAGUGAAGCCGGGCUUCCCCAUGUGCAGAGCCCACUACGUUCAUUGGAUGGAACUUUCUCGAAGCUUUUGUUCCAUCAUUGCUAUCUUCAGAUUUGGCAUCUGCUGCUACUUAGCUGUUCCAGAGUCCAGCCUAAAGUACCCCCGCUGCGUUUUAGGACACAGUUAUGGCUUUAUUUCCUUUUGUGGGCUUGCAUUCAAUCAGUGCCUCACAGAACAUUGUAACUGCCUGGGACGCCACUCCCGGGAUGAGUUUGAGAAUCCGAGCUCUGGCGGCCUCCGUGGGUCCUUACUCGGCAGGAGCCUGGGCACGUCCCUGCUUCGCACAGAGGCUGCUGGGUGGGUGCGUUGAUUACUGAAGUGUUGCGUGGAGGCCCGCUCCUCUCCCCCAUGAGUUUGAGUCUGGAGCCGUCCCCUCUCACUCUGUGGUCUCUCUCUCUGCAGCCUGCUUCCCUCUGCUCCAGAGGGGGCUCAGCACAGAGGUUUCGCUUGACCCACGGGUUUGGAGUGGAGUAAUCCUCUUGGGGUAGGGAUGAGGCUAGUAGAGGGUCUGUUUGGGAAGAGUGGUCAGAAAGAAGGUUGUGGUGGUAAACUGAAUUUGACGGAAUGCCGGGAAUUACUGGGGAGAGGGGCAGGAACCAGGCCCUUGGGGCUGGGGUCAAGGCAGAUGAGCAGAGUGGGAGGGGUUAUGGGGGAAGGUCUGUGGGGUGCAGGGCUCCCAGCGGGCCAGACGCCGCCUGGUCUGGGGUCAGGGUGAGCAGGUGCUCUGUGCUCUUAGAAGCCACCGGAGCCCCUGCUCACAGCCGCCCGGGGCCUGGAGCCAUCCUCGGGGCGCACGCUAGAGGUUUGCCCAGGGCUUGUCAGCUCCUGUGUCGGGCUUUGAGGGGGGAGGGUCUCGGCAGGGAGCAGCCAGGUCUGGGAAGAAUGUGCUGUUCUGGCUCCAGAUGGCAGUUCUGGGCCUUCAACCUCAACCUGAAAUUGUCACGCUCUUCAGCCAGUGUGAAAUCAACUUAGUGGGUCAGGACCGGCACUUAAAAAACAAAUAGAGUAGAAUUGAAUAGAAUAUCAGAAUUAAUACCAUAGAUUCUUAGAGCUGUACGUGUUGCAAAAAAACGUUUGUUUUUUUUUCUCCAGAGCUACAAACAUCCUGCUUAUGUGUGUUGUUCGCGUAUUGCGAAGGGUGUGGUUUACCGGUGGGUCGUUGUCUGAACAGAGUGAGGUAACGCUCCUGCUUUGUUCUUCUAGAAUACACUUCUGACCUUUUUCCCCUCAUGGGGGUGCAGUGUGGACCGACGGGUGUAGGGAUUUUUUGCAGGGGGGCAUGAAGGAAAGGGAUUACUCCAGACCGCCCGGGAGGCAGGCUCGCCCUUGAGAAGGGUAAAGAGAGAAGGGAAAAGGGUCAGCGUAUGUGUUACAAACACUAGCAAGUGGGAAAGGAAGUACCCAGCACAGCAGAAUCAACCACCCAGUAAACAGUGCUUGGAGGAGGAGUCACUCAAGCCCACGGGGACUCAAUGUCCUGCAGCUCAGAAAGGGGGGGAUCGGGGAAAGAGCAGAGUUACAGGCUUUCCUCGCUCCCCUCCACCUGCCCUGUAAAUUCAAGAUUGCACACAAAGGUGUGGUUUCUGGUGGUUAGCAUGGAGCUGCACUCGUCCGUCUCCUGUUAAACGAUCUUGUUGCCACUUUGACAUGUUUCUUGCACCUGUGUGGAAAUUCCUGAGUGACGUGGAUGUAUGUUCAUCUUCCCAGUCUCGGUCCCCCAGCCCUACUUUGUACGUGGAAGGCCCGCUGCCCGCCCCCCCAUUCCUUCUGCUUCUCUCUCCCCUAAGAUUAGAGAUUAAAGUAGGUUUGAUCCAUCCCAGUACAAGUGUGUUAGUACGAAUCACAGCAAGGAAUGGUCUUGACACAGGAGAUUGGGAACAGAGGUUGGAGUGUUCUUAGCUUCUUCAGGAUUUAAGUGUGUGUGUGUGUGUGUGUGUGUAUGUGAGAGAGAGAGAGAGUGAGGGGGCUUUUUUUGGGGAGGGGCAAUAGGAGAGGGAAUGGAAGUCAAGUGUUUAGGACAGAAGAUCUGGCCGAAAAUAGGGGAGGGGAACCCAAGAGAAAGGAUGGUUCAGGACCCCCACACUUCAAGAGGGGUCACUGAGCUGUGGUCCAGAUUCUUUUCCUGGUGCAGAACCUUUUGUCAAAGAUGCUCUGGCUAUUUUUCUCAAUACAAAAAAGUUUAUAAACGGUAAAACCUCAAAAGAAUAUGGAGAAGACCAACACAUAUUUGUGAAGUCCUACAAAGCCCCCACAAAUACGAUCACUGGAGCAGGCAGCAACUGGGGGGAGACAGCCCGGGAUCAGAUGCAUGUCACCCGAGGCACUCUGUUGGGUUUGCCCCCUUCCAGCACAGUGAGGUAGGUUUGUGGGGCCGUCCUGGCAUGUGAACGGAAUCUCCUUUUCUCCUUUAGCCCCCAUGACACUCCUCACGGCCACAGCAGGGCGGGACACUGGCUCUGGGCACCACAGAGAAGCCAUGGCUUAUGGUCUCUAGAAGCCAAUGAGAAAAGCCCAGAAUUCACAAAGGUUAAAACAUGUUGCCUUUGCCUCAGACACCCAUCCCUGGGCAGCUUGAGAUGGGUCCAGAGGUAUUGUUCUGAAACCUGUCCUUAUCCCUGCAUUUUUAAAAUGCACGCACGCACCUGUUGUGCAUCGUAGGCCCAGCCCAGUCUCACGACGGAUGGAUCUGGUAGAAGAAGGGAGUCCCAGGCCCUGGGAUCAGAAGUCUAGAACAGGAAUCCUCUAUUACACGUAGAAACGACCCUCAGCCAGUCCUGUCUUCCCCUCUGCCCCUUUCCCCGAGUGCAGUCUCGCCUCGCCUUCCUGCACCACCUGUUCUGUUUAGAACACUCUCCCAUCUUCCAAGAGAAGGGGAUCAAGUCCUGGGGCAACCCAGUUCAUACCUCGUCUCCCACGGAACAUGGCAGGUGGCAGGCUUUCAAGAGCUGGCUUUUCAGCCCUAGUGUCCUCUGAUUGGCAAAAAUGAGGUGGUUGCUUAGACUCUGCCCUCCAAGUAGUUGUCCUCCCUGAUGAUAAAGCAAGUAUUCUGUGCCAAACUGGAGCUGCCCACUAGCUCGAUCAAGCUCCUGAGAACACCAGGCAGGAAGGAGAGCCUUAAGAUUAAAACAUUACAAAACCACAAAACCAGAAUAUAUUAUGGAAAAAAAGUUAAAAUGCACAAGAUACAUCACUCGCACAUAGUGCUGUUGGCCGCCUGGCGAGAGUGGGGCCCGGGUGCGGUGGUCCAAGGGAGCAGAAUGGGGGGAGGCCUGCAGCUGUUCCCCAACAAGCCCUCUAUUGCGGCAGGCCCUGGCUUGGGACAGUUCUCGGUGGGUUAGGAGAUGAGGAAAAACCCUGCCUCAGCCCUGGGAGACUCCCUCCCACACGAUAUAGUGGCUUGUGGGUUGGGCCCAUCCAUCUGGUCUCAGGCCGAGCCCUGCGCGCACACUGACCCACUUACAGGGGUCCCCCGGCGCCUUGGCACCGCCACCUGCAAGCAGCUGGGUUGACACAGAGCCCAGGGUUGUCGGCUGAGCCCAUGGCCCCUGGUUGGGAGGCCCUGGACAAUAGGGGUUUUGCAUUGGCUUUGGUGAGGAUAUUUUGACCUGUGGCUUAAUGUCUUUUGUCCGAGUUGGGAAAUUCUGGUCAUUUCUUCCAGUGCUGCUCCUGUACCCUGUUAUCUCCCAUGACACGUGUUAGGUGUGUCAUGUAUCCACGGUCCUCUGCGUGUUUCUCGUGUCCUUGUCUGUAUUUUCCGUCCGUUUUCCACUUUGUGCCUCGGAGGACCAUCUUCCCAUCUCCUGUGUGUCUGGGGGUGGGGGUCCUGAACCAUCCUUUCUCUUGGGUUCCCCUCCCCUAUUUUCAGCUGGGAGACCUUAGCGGGUCAGGCCUGCUGCAGAGGAGGCUGAUCUCCGAAGGAGCUGAUCGCUGCUGCUCAUUCAUUGUGGCAGCCGGGCCUCCACCAGGAACCUUACAGUCCUGCCAGGGAGGCAGGAGCGAGGAGGUGCUGAGGGCACCAGGACGGGAGGACACCGGAUGUGCAAAAGCAGGAAGAAGGAGGGCGAUAUGUGGAAUGGCUUGCGAAAUCUGGUCUAGGGAACAGCUAUGACAAGACUGGGCCAGGAGUGAUGAGUAGAGCAAACGGACCCUUGGGAACCCUUGUAUUUUUAAGAAGGUGAAAAGUUCAGGGACCCUCAUUCCCAGAAAAAUGCUUUGCUUUAAAAAAAUAGUUCAUGCAGGGCGCCCGGCCGGCUCAGAGGAGUGUCAACUCGAUCUCAGGGUCAUGGGUUUGAGCCCUGUGUUGGGUGUGGAGCCUGUUUAAAAAAAAAAAAAAAAGGCUUGACUUGAGCAAGGGGGAGCAGUGCUGUGGGACUCUUGUGUCAUCAUCCUCCGUCCACUUCAGUUAUGAUGUGACGCCACUUGUCCAUGUGUGUUUCUGCUGCUAGUCACGGGCCUCCAGACAUGAAAACACUGAGUAACGUCUUAGUAAAAAGGAAAUAUACCAAGAAAGAGAUGAGGCCACAGAAGAGUGUCUUCUCUGUCGGAAAAUAAGGUGUAGGGUGGAGGCGCGGCAUUGGCUGUUGGGACGCUGACCCAUGUGGGGACGUGGUCAGUGUCUCAGCAGCCUCACGCUCUCUGGGGUCGUCAUGCCCUCACCCCGCACUCUCGUGGUCCCAUCCCAGCGGUAAACAAACAGUGGGUGACUGGGCGUAUUUGGUUUUUUGGUUAUUUUUAAAUUUUGCCAAGAACAUUUAAAACAAAUAGAACUCCCAUCAACCAUUCUCAUGUUUUAAUAAUGCAAAGGUGCAAAGCACAUGCUCCCAAGAUCAAGGACAGGAAGUUGGGUAGCAAGUUUGGUGACCGACUCGCUGUGGGCGCAGAUGGAGGCCUAGGAGCUAAGCAGAGCCGUACCGCUGGGACGCUGCCACCAGACCUGCGGCUGGGGUGGGGGUGGGGGAGCCUUUGGGCCUCGUGUGGCAGCCCCGUGUGCCCAGCCCCCUGGCUCCAUGCGCCAGGGUCACUUGUCUGAAGUCAGGCAUCCCCCUCACAGAGCUUUAUCAAUCGGGCACUCAGUCGUCAUUGAGGCCGCGGAGAUCAGAGGUCCCAGGGCUGGCGGGCAGCGUGCAGGGCUGACUGCUUGUGGGGUGGCCCUGGGGACACCAACUUGCUGCCUGCAAUCCUGGGGGCGCACUCCUGUUUUCCUCUCACAGCGGGUCCCUGCCCACGCCCGCUUGGUGGGGGUGACGGGUGUGGGCGCGUGGUUUCUGCUCCUCCAGGAGGUGCUCUACAAGGGGCGCAUGAGUCUGCUUUGCCCCCUGAGGAGCUCUGUGAGGGAGGUGAAGGCAGAUACGGUGAUGUCUGGUUCAGGUGACUCGUGUCUCAGUGGCCCACGGCCGUGCGCUUGCUUGUGACUGCGCAGGGACCUGAGCCGAGUCCGAGACUGCAGCAGGGUUCCUUGCUGGGCAUGGGGGAGGGGGCGGCUCCUGACAGCCUGGGGCCACGCCGUCCAGGGGACUCUGCACCCCUCUUUCCUGAUGCCCCGUGCUGUCCCCUGGGGCCAAGAUUCAGGAACAGUUUGCUGCAAAGGCAGGGUCCUUGCCCCCCACCCCUUUGUGUGUCCUGUGGCUUAGAAGAUGUGUUAUGACAGCGCGGGCCCAGAACGGUGCCUGGCACACAGUGUGUAGUCCAUAGAAAUCUCUGGGGCUGUGGCACAGAAGCCCCCGUGAGCCUUGCUCUGUAAACAGCCCGGGGUUUCUGGCAGGUACAGCUACGUCUUCCCACCCAGGGCACCUUUCACCAAGCCUCCUUCCCGACGGCACUGUUUGUUGGAAGGUGUUUUGUUUUUCCUUUUCUCAGCCUCUGCUGUCUGUCUGGGCCAAAGCCCAGGGUGCUCCAGGGCGGCCUUGUUGGGCUCCGAUAACCUCCAGGGGGACUGCAGGGAGGAGAGGCUGAGCUGGGGGCCUGGGAAGCUGGCCCAGGGCUCUCCUCUCUCUGGGGAGAACCCUCCUGCUUCCCCUCCAUUUCUUGACUGCAAAAGCUCUGUUCUUGAGAGAAAGGCUACCUUCCUGGCAGGGGCCGGCACCUCCUCGCAGGCCAGGAUGGAGGCCAGGCUGCCGACUGCUGCCCCGGGGCCGCAGAGCUGGCUCUGUGGACGGUUGGUUGUCUGCCAGGACUUGCUGGCCGGCCGUGUGGGCCGAGCUGAUGAUGGCUCCCAGCGCCCUGAGCACUGGGAGGACUGAGGUGGGGCCGAAGAAAAUGGGUCACACGUGGAGUGAGCAAGUGGGGCUCCGGGCGUCCCCACCAGGCCUUGGGAAGUCUGAGCACAAGCCUCCAGUACCACCUGGUUCUGGGAGAGGAAGAGCCUGGCUGGGCCUUGUGCUUUCCUCUCGACAAGGCUCUGAGAAUGGCUGGAAGCUCGCUGGGUGGGGGAGGGCUGAUUUAUUCUUGGUUCACUAGAGCGGGAGCUCCUGAGGUCAAGGUCAGGGCAGCUGGGCUGGCCGCAGUGGGGAGCCCGUUGGCUGCUGCACCUCCAGCUCCCUGGGAGCUCGCAGGCCACCGAAGGAGCCUAAGGCGGUCUUUGUGUAACGUCUUUUGGUGAUCUAAUGACAAGUCCUUGCCCUUGGAGAGCUUUGGCCCUGCCCGGCAGCCUAGAAAUGGCCAGGGAAGGGUGUGACAGAACUUCUGAGGGGGACGACGACAGGCAGGGGAGCUGGGGGGCCACCUCUGCUCGCGGUGGCUAGGCUGGUUAACCCGAGGCUUGUCUUUGGACUUGAUGCAGGCAGAUGCAGAGAGACCUUGGUGAGGGUCAUUGUAGUUUGAAGGUUAACCUUACUUGUUAUCACUUACUUUGCAAAGGCAGAUACUGUGCUGGGUGGGGCGGGGUGGGCCGGCAGCAGGGAGUUAAUGUUUAAUUGGCGCGGCUGCUCUUAGCUAUCUCAGCUCCGUGCCCAGUGCCCUCUGGAGCUGGUCAGAGCUAAAACAGGCCCGGUUGCCAGAUGGCCUUGGUGGACCUGAGGGCCCUUUCAGGUGCCUGGCUUCUUCCUAUGGCUUCCAGAGCUCGGCUCAUCCUGCCCUGCGCUGCUUGUAUGCGUGAGUGCUUGGAGCAUGGCCGGGCCAAACCAGGCCAUGCUCAGUGCGCAUACACGCUGGAUUUUGAAGACUCUGUACAAAACCAAAACAAAACCGUGAAAUACCUCUGAUGAUUUUUACACACAAGAGGACUUAGUAAUAUUUUGGAUGUAUUAUGUUAAAUAAAAUACACGAUGCGCAUUCA